AGAGAUAAUUGUAGCAAGAAGAAUGUCCAGUAAAGUUAGAUCUACAAAAAAUUGUGUUUUGGUAAUCAUGAUGAUUGAUGAUCUAACUUUACUGGACAUUCUUCUUGCUACAAUUAUCUCUAU
RNAcentral lists this small RNA (123 nucleotides) under Mytilus galloprovincialis (Mediterranean mussel). The record is from RNAcentral. Lineage: Eukaryota; Metazoa; Mollusca; Bivalvia; Mytilida; Mytilidae.